Long non-coding RNA from Mercenaria mercenaria, 1946 nucleotides. RefSeq lists it as uncharacterized. NCBI's taxonomy places the organism in Eukaryota, Metazoa, Mollusca, Bivalvia, Venerida, Veneridae. The record is from RefSeq and is a predicted model, not a curated record. The transcript is spliced from 3 exons.
UAAGUAAUAAGAAGUCAUUUUUAUUAAGGAUACAAUUCGAAAUAAUUAUAGAUUAUAUACAUUGUACACUGUCAGCGUUGAUUUAGGUCGAUCCAUUGGAAUGUUUAUUUACACACAUAUAUAAACAUUAUACCAUGGGAAUUCGUAGCACAUAAUCCUGAAACGAAUGUUUUUCGUGUUAAACCUUGUGCUUCCACAGAUAAUAACCAGGAUGUUUAUUUACAAGAUUCUUAUCAUUACUUCUAACCAACGGACACAAGCUUAUGUUCCCAAAAUGUAAACAAAAUAAGAAAAUCAACUGAAAUUUUUUUGUAAAUUAGGGCGCCAAUAUAAAUUAAAUUAAUAAGAAAGUGCUAACUACAAUAAACGCACUGGAAAGCUAUUUCGGAUAAAAUACAUCGGUUUUAGCGGACAUUAUUUAUGCAGAAUUACAGGAAAUCGUUAUUUGUUCUGGUCUUUUCUGAGCAUGGAUAUUUUUCGGAAGGUUUGUAUCCCUACAUGUAUAUGUAAUUAGAUACUAUUUCUAGUAAAUUUAAAUGGAAAGUUUGUUUUCCGUAAAAUAUUUUAGAAUGAAGUAUGUAUCGCUUUGGUAUUUAAAUGUUCAUUAUUUAUUUGUUCUGAUAUGUUGUUCAACAAGUAGUAUUUGUUACUUUGUGAUUUGUGAAAGGUGAACUGUUAAAUUUCAGAGUUCGCAUGCUAGUUCCCACAUACUGGAUUCAGAUUCAUUGGCAAUGGAGGCCUUGUGUACUAUGCAAUACAAAGAAAACUACAUUCAUGUGUCAACAUUUGCUGUUAUUAACAGGGAUAUAUACAGAUCAUUGUGGAUUAUAAAAAAAAGUUGGAUCUUUAAAAGCGGCCACGUUACCUAACUGGAAUAGUGUUUUGAAGGAGACGUAUUUUCGUAUUACUUUGAAUAUUACGAAUAUAUAGGCAUUUGUUUUCGUUAUGUGAAAUGAUAACGUUUCUCGAAAAUGUCAGGACGGAAACAUUCAAUAAUUACAUUCUAACCAUAUCAAGUUGUGUAAGAUGUGCAAACAGUGACAAAGAAUCAUGAUGGAAUAUAUUGAAAAUCGUGUAAUCUUUCACAAUUUGUAACUAUUUCUAUGAUGACUAAUGGCAAUACAUGCAAACAACAUGUAUUUUGUCUGUUUUCAGAAAGUUAAAUGCAAAAGGAAUUGUAUUCUUUUUAACACAGUAUCAGUUUCCUUGGACAUUCAGAUUUUCUUCUGUCAGAUUUCAAUUGUUUUGUAACGGCUUAUCGUAAUUCGGAUAGCAAAAUUGACACACACUAUUUAUUUCCUCUGUUUAUAGUUAUAUAAUUCAGAUAGUAAAGUCAAUGCUCUUUUUCUACUGCCUGCUCUCAAAUGGUGUUUAUCUGAAUUUGGAUAGCAAACGUAACGCACAGUUUCUCUACUGUUCGGUUCCAGAUCGUUUUACGCUGUUGCUUAGGCGAAUUCGAAUAACAAGGAUAAUACAUACACAUGAUCUAUUUCAUAUAUUCCUGAUGAAAUGCAAAACUUAUAGUUAUUUCAAUUCAGAUAGCCAAGUCAAUGCUAGGUUUUUUGAACUGCAUAAUUGCUUAUCUGAAUUUGGAUAGCAAACACAAAACACAAUUUUUAUUCUGUCAAACUUUAGAUAGUCAAUAUUGUUUGGACUUGUCUGAAUUCGGAUAAUAAUACUAUCUCACAAUUUGGUCAAGUGUAUUUACUUGUUGGUUUGAUGAUCAGGUACAAGGUUUCUUUCGUAAAUUAUCGUAUUUGGUAAAGUGUAUUUUCGCUUAGGACAGUGUAGCAUAAUGAAUAUUGGAUUUAACCUGACAGUAUUUUGUAUUUGUAUAAUUAAUAUAAAAUGAAUUGAAGUUAAUCAUAGUCUGCCUUUUAUCUGUUUUCGGAUAGAGCAGUUUUCUUAUACAUAUUUAAAUAUGUGGUUUCCUGUUCCCCGUUUGA